Molecule: long non-coding RNA, 867 nt
Organism: Artibeus jamaicensis (Jamaican fruit-eating bat)
Lineage: Eukaryota; Metazoa; Chordata; Mammalia; Chiroptera; Phyllostomidae
Exons: 3
Source: RefSeq, a predicted model, not a curated record
UUGUUCCUGAGUGGAUACUAUUUUGAGCUUUUCAUUAUUUGCAAGAUGGAGCUAUGUGUCUGUACUUAAAUAUGCCCAGCUGGCCAAUGCACCUGCUUUUUGAGUCACUACAGAGAUCAGAAACCCUGAACAACAGAAGUUGGACUUAUGUGUCGUUUCUGAACGGUCAACUUACCAUAACAAAACACUCAGAGGUGUAAAUCUUCUGGAAGAAGUGCAAAUGCCACACUUUUACUUGGAAAAAAAGGAAAAAAACAGGACUUAUUUAAUAUAUUUGCCGAACAUGUAAAACUGCAUACACCACAGGAAAUAUUUUUGGUGUGUGGGAACGUGUGGUGUGUCCAAACUACAAACAUUGUUUUGAAAAUUUCCCCGGCAGUGGUGAAUUAUAUGAGACCAUGUCCAUGUAAGGACAGCCCAUUGUUGCUAUUUCAUACUGCAGUUUGAAUGCCUACCUAAAAUGUUGAGGAUUUCCAUUUCUCUUUGUUCGGCUUUGGGCAGUGGCUAGAAACUCAUGUGUGAAGAGUUGGAUUGACCUGCCUUUUGGUAGCACUGGGUUUUCUUCGAGGGACAUGAAAUGAUUGAAAUUGAAAUUUCCCUUCUGGGUUCAGGCAUGUCUACACUAAUUGUAAAAUAGUUGUUUUGGCUUCCAAGAGUAGGCUCAUAACUACAACUAUGUGAAGUAGAAAUCCAGCAAGAGUUAUAAUUUACAGUCACUAACUCUGCCAGUCUUAUAAUAAAAACACUAUCAUAACCAAUCUAUUGUGACAUUCAUUUGCUUUACUUGAGACACAGAUAAAAAGUCCUGUUCCGGGUUGUCUUGCAUUAGAAAGCUGUUUCAUUGCAUUGGGAUAUUGAUGUGUCUCC